Molecule: ribosomal RNA, 305 nt
Filed under: uncultured bacterium
Lineage: Bacteria
Description: bacterial SSU rRNA
Rfam family: Bacterial small subunit ribosomal RNA
Source: RNAcentral
GCCUACGGGGGGCAGCAGUUAGGAAUUUUCGUCAAUGGGCGCAAGCCUGAACGAGCAAUGCCGCGUGAACGAGGAAGGUCUUCGGAUCGUAAAGUUCUGUUGAAGGGGAAAAAGAGCGGAGAGAGGAAAUGGUCUCCGAUUGAUAUUACCCUUCGAGGAAGUCACGGCUAACUACGUGCCAGCAGCCGCGGUAAUACGUAGGUGGCGAGCGUUAUCCGGAAUGAUUGGGCGUAAAGGGUGCGUAGGCGGCCUGCUAAGUCUGGAGUGAAAGGUACCGGCUCAACCGGUACAGGCCCUGGAAACUG